CCGGCCAUGGCGACGAUGCCUCUGCAGGGCUUGCGGGGAGAGGAGGAGAUUCGGAGAUUGGAAGAGAAGAAAGGCUGGGGAGAGUGGUCGAGGUUGGAGAAGGAUCGGCGGAGGCCUGAAAAUUGAGUGGCGGAGGAAUAGGAAUAGGAGGGAGUUGUGGCCUUGGGGGUCGACAAUUGAGAUGCGAGUGAUGUUGAGGUCACUGCCGCCAUCGCCUAGUUUCUGGCUAGCUUAGCUUCUGCUUCUGCUUCUCCUUGGACGUCUAGCCGCCUGUUUUAUGAUG
RNAcentral lists this long non-coding RNA (283 nucleotides) under Vitis vinifera (wine grape). RNAcentral's name for it is "long non-coding RNA (VVIN_LNC000614)". The record is from RNAcentral. Lineage: Eukaryota; Viridiplantae; Streptophyta; Magnoliopsida; Vitales; Vitaceae.